Molecule: ribosomal RNA, 774 nt
Filed under: uncultured Neocallimastigales
Lineage: Eukaryota; Fungi; Neocallimastigomycota; Neocallimastigomycetes; Neocallimastigales
Description: partial large subunit ribosomal RNA
Rfam family: Eukaryotic large subunit ribosomal RNA
Source: RNAcentral
CUAUACAUGACUCUGCGCAUAUCAAUAAGCGGAGGAAAAGAAACUAACAAGGAUUCCCUUAGUAACGGCGAGUGAAGCGGGAAGAGCUCAAAUUUGAAAUCUUCAAGGUUUUACCUUGACGAAUUGUAGUUUAAAGAAGUGUUUUCUGCUGAAGUUUUGGUAAAAGUUCUUUGGAAUAGGACAUCAUAGAGGGUGAGAAUCCCGUAUUUGACCAUUAUUUUCAGCUUUGUGAUACACUUUCAAAGAGUCGGAUUGUUUGGGAAUGCAGUCCAAAAUGGGUGGUAAAUUUCAUCUAAAGCUAAAUAUUGGCGAGAGACCGAUAGCGAACAAGUACCGUGAGGGGAAGAUGAAAGGAACUUUGAAAAGAGAGUUAAACAGUACGUGAAAUUGUCAAAAGGGAAGCGUUUGACACCAGUGUUGUUUUCUCGAAAAUCAAUUAAAAAUGGCUCGAUUUUGUAUUGCUGAGACCUUAAAAGCUCACUGUACAUUUUUCGUGUCUUUUUUAAUGCACUUUUCGUUUAACAAGUCAACAUCAGUUUCUUUUGUUGUAAAAGGGUCAUUGGAAGGUGGCUUUCUUUUCGGAGAGAGUGUUUAUAGCCUUUGGCCUCUGCAAUCGGAGAGACUGAGGUCUGCAGCGUAGACUCUUCGGGGUUAGAUACAUUUGUGCUAAGUUAUAGCUUUUUAUAGACAACUUGUUGACUAUAAUUAGUCUUGUAGCUUACUCGCUUAUGCUAUUUUACCUACGCUUAGGAUGUUGAAGAUGUAGCACAUCAU